CGUUUGGAGUUUCUUACUGCUGGCCUCCCGAGCUCUGUGCCUCUGCAGCAGCUCUUUGACCGUGGUCUUUACCCGGACGCCUUGGUACACCCUUGGCUUUUCUGCACAAAAAGACCACCUGCAUGCGUCAGUCCAGUUUACCAAACACUCCCCACUGAGCACACAUCCGCACACCCAGCCUUCUAUCUCUCACCACCCCCCAAGCAAAGUAAGCCUAGUCCCUAAUGAGAUUAAACAAUUAUAUAAUCUUUUAUUUGGUAGUGUAAAAAUAUGUUUGAAAACCAUAUUUAAAUUAUUCGUUCAUUUUAAAGUUUUCUUUGUGUAAAAACGCAUUCAGCCUGCUCGAUGCGCGCUCUGCACGCUGAACCUCCCCUCUGCGCUCCCGGCUCACAGCUCAGGUUGUCGGCGUUUCUUCCUCUACGCCCCUCUUCCGAGUCUCAGACCUCAUGCGCUUUUCUGAUCUUUCGAAUUGCCCAAUCCGCGCAGGAAGAAAAGAAAGGAAUAUAAAUCGGCCCUAAAUGCUGCAAAAGACAAAAGCUGAAAAGCGAAUAUCCCAACAGAAAUCUAAGGCACAACUCACCAGACAUGAUGGCUGAGAUGAGGAGAUGAUCCCUGGAGAAGACCUUUGGAUCUCCACAACGUUACGUUCUGCCUCAGCAAAAUGGCCAAGAACGAAAUUUCUACAAAAGUCUCUAAAAACAACAAGUCAAAUGUGUUCCACUGGGCUCAGAGCAUACAACAAUAUUGUAAUAAAGCUGGGGAAAUAUUAGUUUGAGAUUUUCUCCCUCCAUGCCUACUAUUUAAAACCCCUAGAACUCAAUGAUUUGACAAUGAUUUGAUUGCGCGUUACUUACAAUUUGAAUAUUCAGAAGCAACGCUCUCAAAUCGAUUUUUCAAUACAAAUAACUUGUGAAUGUCUUUAUAAAAGCCUUACUUUAAUCUAAUAUAUUAGUAUUUUAUACAUUGCUGCUAAAAAAGCAUUAUUUUAUCAAUUUUAAGCUCCUUUUGACAUAUCAGAGCACAUCAGCCCUCAUUACACACAUCAGCUCUAAAUGUUGCUUUUUACGCACUUUUAAAAGCGAAUUCUACCCCAAAUCUGAUCUCACACGUCCACGAAUGGACCAUACACAUCAGAAAUGUGUGAAAUUUUAUUAAAAAUGUUUUUUGGGGAAAAAAAAACGCUUAAAAGUGGGAAAGAAGGGGGCGUGGCAAAGGGCAGCAGCCAUCUUUGCCAUCACAGGCCUUGAGCUGCUGCAGCCAGUGGUCCCAGUGUUCUCACCUGCUGCAGGAGGGAACACUCAGCAGCUCUGCGUUUCAAUGAAAUAUUUUAUUUUUAUUUUAGUGAAAAACAAUAUUAAAUCUGUAUAUUUAUCUCGUGGAGACACUACGGCAACGCUUUCCUUAUUUUGCAACAAAUUCCUUCCUUGAUCAUAUAUUAGGUGAUUUAUAAUUGAAAUAUUGAUCUUAUAAAAUCGCAAAUAAAAUGGUAAAAAUAAAUAAAAAUAAAUCCAAAACAAUUUACCUUUUGUUUGUUCAUUUCAUAAUUCUUUAUGUGUUUAAAAUUAAGAGCCUGUUGUUUGCAUUUAUAUAAAUUAAUUUAACAAAUAUUAUGACUAAUUUAUUAUAGUUUUAAUGGUUUACAAUAAUUUCCCAAAAUUCCCUAAGCUGGUCAAAAUUAAACUCUGAUUUCUUUUAUAUUAUAAAUAUUGUAAUCAUCAUAACUGUUGCCAUAGCAAAUCUUUCAUUAAAAUACUAGUUAUUAUUUCUCUUUAUUAAUUAUGAAGAAAUUUCAAAUGACAGAAAAAUAUUUUUUAUCGUUUAAAUGCCAUCUUUUUUUGUCUCCAGUCCUCAUCAUAAAGUCCCCUCCUCACUCUGCUCCAAACAGCGUCCCAGCUCUCUCCAGCUCUGCACAACCCGUCUUGAUUCCUCUGGUGGCACAGUAGCCCCACCUAGUGGGCACAUAUCUGAACUCUAGCAGGGUUUUUCCCAGAGCAUAAAUGCAGAGACUAAAAUCUUUUUUUCCCUGUUACAUUUGAAUCAUGAAGUGAAUCGUGAUAAUGGCACCUCUUAGUUGGGUAUAUUAGGAGACAAGAGAAUACAAGUUGAAGUUUUAUAAGCAGAAUGAUGUGCACAAGAGUUUGAGCAAGUUUGAUGAAGACCCUAUAUGAAUGGGUUGAAACAUCCCCAAAACUGUGGCUCUUUUGGGGUUUUCCCAGGCUUCAGAGGUCAGAAUCUCUCAAAAGUGGUACACGGAAGGAACAGAGUUAAAUCAGCAACAGACCAAGUGUGUGGUCCAGUCUAAUAGACGAGCUAUGUGAAGCUGCUAAGUUCAUGCUUUUCCUGACAGCAAGUUGUCAGAAUACACAGUUAAAUAAUGGCUGGGGGCCUGUGGGGAGCACAUGGUACCAAGAUGCACUGUGUGAAGAAAGCAAGCAGCUAAAGCACUGUGAUUCUUUUGGCAAUGUGCCGCUGGGAAACUGUGGGUCCUCGCAUCCGUGUUGAUGUUAUUUUGACACAUAUCCCAUAGCUAAGCAUUGUUGCCAACCAUGUGCACCUUUUCAUGGAAAUGCGUUUCCUGAUGGCUGUGGCCUCCUUCAGCAGGAUGAUACACCGUACCAUGAAGCAAAAAUGGUUCAGGGUAUGGUUUAAGAAGCAGAACAAUGAGUUUGAGGUGUUGACUUGCAAUCCAAAUGUUCCACACUUCAUUCCACACUCAAACAAUUCUAAACCAUGGAGGCUCGACCUCCCAAUUUAUGGGACUUAAAAGGUAUGCUGCAAACAUCUUGGUGCCAAAGUGAACAUUCAGGGUUUCUGUGUCCUGAGACGUUGGGCUGCUUUGGCAGCAAAAGGGAGACAGCAAACUAUUAGGCAUGUUGCCAUAAUACUAUGUCUAAUCUGUUUAAAUAUAGGAUGCAAUUUUAUUAACAUGUAGACAGUCAGAGAGUUGAGAUGUACAUCACUUCAUAAAAGAAAAACAACUCCUACAAAAACAUUCAGGUGGCUUGGAUCAACAGGUGGUACCUGUGUGACCAUGUUCAGGACAAACUCCAUGUUUUAAAAAAAGUAUCUAUUGUGUGAGGUCAGUUAGUGAGACUGCAGAGAACUCUGUAGUGUGAACAUGUCACAAAAAACGUUCCUACAACUGUUCUGUUACAGCAUCUUCUUCUGAUUUCAGAACAGUCAUGACAGGUGGGGCUGAUUAAGGACGCAUGCUUCCAUAUUCUGGCAAACUGUUCAGAAUAUCUAAGGAAUGCCAGGAGAAAUUUCAGACAAUAGGAAUAAAACGUGUAACAAACUGCACAAAGACUUGAGAGAAGAAUACUGAUAAAACAAGAAUAAACCAAGAGGCAGAAAAACGACUAAUAAAAAAGCAGGAAACAUUAUCGCAUUCUGUACCAGCAAAGCCGACCUAAGGUCAGAGUGAUGUGAGCUGUUACUGAGGAACCACCUAAAGGCACUUGGCACCUAAAAAGGAUACAUAUCUAAAGUUUUUUAAAUUGUAGUUACGUUUCUUAAAAUUUAAGCAACUUUCAAACUCGGUCAGUUGUUUGUCCAUAUAAGGACAUUCUUCAUAGCUUCACAGUUUUGUCAAAUAUCAUAAUUCAGAAUUGCUAUUUUAAUCAUUUCUGCUGUUUGUGUCUGCACAUGAAAACUGAUCAAUAAAUAAAUGGCAAUGUUCCACUUGUUCUUGCAGGUAUACCUAAAUUAAUUGCCCUCUCCUUCUCAAUUCUGAGGAGUCUGCACUGAACAGCUGAAGUCCUGACAUAGACUACCAGACCAAAUUGAUCCAAAUUUGCUGAACCCCGGAAACCUCUUACCAAGCUUCUGAUGACAGUUACUCUACACUGGACAAACUACUGUCAAGUUGCCUCACCUCCCUAACAAGGUUUGAAACUGCCUGGCCGCUCUCCAACAUUCUACGGAUCCUGUACUUCGACCUUGUCACCGUCAAACUCACCACACGGACCACUCCCCUCAAACCAAGGCAAGAAACCACACCGACAAACCGUAAGCUCUAACCAGCUCAACUCAAGAUCUCAAACAAUUCCAUACUGACCACAUGAACUAAGCCUUCUCUCACAAAACACCUGAUUCCCAUUUCCAGAAUUGAGUGAUUUUCCCGUCAUUCUCAAUAAACCUUGUUUGAAAACGUUU
This is a long non-coding RNA of Girardinichthys multiradiatus, 4155 nucleotides long. RefSeq lists it as uncharacterized. The transcript has 3 exons. The record is from RefSeq and is a predicted model, not a curated record. NCBI's taxonomy places the organism in Eukaryota, Metazoa, Chordata, Actinopteri, Cyprinodontiformes, Goodeidae.